UCCGGUGUUUCUAGCGACGAGGGUACACCUGAUCCCAUCCCGAACUCAGCCGUUAAGCUCGUCAGCGCCGAUGGUAGCCUGUUAGGCAAGAGUAGGUCAGCGCCGGAA
RNAcentral lists this ribosomal RNA (108 nucleotides) under Candidatus Moraniibacteriota bacterium. Lineage: Bacteria; Candidatus Moraniibacteriota. The record is from RNAcentral.